This 21-nucleotide microRNA is filed under the name Gallus gallus (chicken). RNAcentral describes it as "gga-miR-1654". The record is from miRBase by way of RNAcentral. Lineage: Eukaryota; Metazoa; Chordata; Aves; Galliformes; Phasianidae.
UUGCUGGUGGAGGGAGCUGAG